RNAcentral lists this ribosomal RNA (565 nucleotides) under uncultured bacterium. RNAcentral's name for it is "bacterial LSU rRNA". It matches the Rfam family "Bacterial large subunit ribosomal RNA", at positions 1552 to 2094 of the family's 2925-position model. The record is from RNAcentral.
UAGGGUGAGGUGUGAUGAUGGGCGUCCUUUGGACGCGAUAUCCGGUGGUCCAGGCCGUCGAGAAAGCCUCGGCGCGAGGGGCGUCGCCGCCCGUACCCCAAACCGACACUGGUGGUCAGGUAGAGAAUACCAAGGCGAUCGAGCGAAUCCUGGUCAAGGAACUCGGCAAAUCACUCCCGUGCCUUCGGUAUAAGGGGAGACCCCCGGGCGUGAAGAGGCUUGCCCUCGGAGCGGUUGGGGGUGGCACAGACCAGGGGGUAGCGACUGUUUACCAAAAACACAGGUGCAUGCGAAGGCGCAAGCCGCUGUAUAUGCACUGACGCCUGCCCGGUGCCGGAAGGUUAAGAGGAUCCGUCAGCCCCUUUUGGGGUGAAGCGGUGAAUUCAAGCCCCGGUAAACGGCGGUGGUAACUAUAACCAUCCUAAGGUAGCGAAAUUCCUUGUCGGGUAAGUUCCGACCUGCACGAAUGGCGUAACGACUUCCCCACUGUCUCGACCAGGAGCUCGGCGAAAUUGCAGUACGAGUAAAGAUGCUCGUUAAGCGCAGAAGGACGAAAAGACCCCCG